This 2737-nucleotide long non-coding RNA is filed under the name Ananas comosus (pineapple). Its description in RNAcentral is "long non-coding RNA (ACOM_LNC012506)". The record is from RNAcentral. Lineage: Eukaryota; Viridiplantae; Streptophyta; Magnoliopsida; Poales; Bromeliaceae.
AUAUAUAUAUAUUGGAAUUAGACUACUAUACUAUAAAUAGUACUAAGUCGACCGUUAGAUAAAGAAAUGUUCAGUUAGGGUGAUAGUAGUCUCCGAUUAGGACGAUAAUGGUUCCCUCGGGUUGAGUGGGUGGUUAGUUGAAUAGUAUGAUCUAACAGGUGAAAAAUAGUCAAAGAGGUAGAUAUAACGAAUUUUCUUUUAUUAAUAAACUUAGAAAAUUAUAAUUAUAAAAUAGUCCUCUAGAAAAUUUAUUUACAAAACUAAGUUUACAUGGUGAAUACAUUACAGCUUUCUAAAUACGGUAAAUUAUUCACCAUUUUUUUAAAAUUUUAAACUAUUUUUAAUAUUUAAUACCAUGCAUCUUUCGAAGUUUGCAUAUAUAAAAUAUAUAAAUUAGGGUAAAGGCAAUGAAUCAUUUACCUCUUUUAGAAAGCGAUAAAUGAUUCGCCACUUGUGUCAACCUAUUUUUAUAAAUAAAAAAUUUGAAUACCUAUUUUUAUAUUUAAAAUAUUUUGUAGUCUUAAUAGCCCAAAAACUCUAAAUCUAACGGCGAAAAUUUUGAUGGUACCAAGCGAUUUGUACUAUUGGAAGUAUAUAUAUAUAGUAGCUAAAUCACUACAACAAAAACGGUCUAUAGCGACACUUUUAAAUGUAGGUACAUGUCAAAAAAGUGCUGCUAGCUAAAAUUACCGACACUUUUAAAAAGUGUUGCUAUAUGUGGGGUCACUAGGUAUAUAGUGACAGUUAAAGAGUGUCGCUAUAACCUAAAAGAGUGCUGCUAAUUUACGAAUACUUAUUUAAGCAUUUAGCAACCGCCGAAACUUUAUCUCGUUGGCUGCGGUGGCGGAGGAGGACGACAGGAAAUGCUCUUCGUCUAGAAUUUCAGUGGAUUGAGUGAAGAGAGAAGAAAAGAUGGCAAUUGAUUUUUCUUUUUUUUUUUCUUUUCUGUUUGUAAUCGGGCCAAAUAGACUGGGUGUGGUGGGUUGAGUAAAGUAAUCUUUUAUUUUUAGUUGGAUUGGGCUUUAUAUUUAGGCAUUAGCAGAUAUUUUUUUAAGUUUUAGCAUAAAUGGGACACUUACUCAAAAGUGUUCCAAACAUGUGUCUCUAUAACCUAAUUCUGUUGUAGUGAAUUUAUAUAGAAAAAACUUCAAAUACCACCUCUGUGGUUUCACACUAUCUUAUUUUAGUACUUUGUGGUUUAAAGUGCAUCACUUUCAUAUCCUAUAAUUUCAUUUUUCUCUUUCUGUUAUCCCCUUCACUAAUUUUUUUUUUGUUAAAUCAGUGACAAAGUUAAAACUAAAGGGUACUAAAGUAAAUAUUCGAUAAACUUAGAUAGAGUAUCUGAAGUUUUUUUGUAUAUAAUUUAAUAAAAUGUUAACGAAAAAGCUGACGAAAAGAAAAAAAAAUAAAACCAAAGAAUACUAAAUCAAUACACUUUAAACUACAGAAUACUAAAAUAAGAAAGUAUGAAACCACAUAAAGCUGGUAUCUGAAGUUUACCCAUUUAUAUAUGUUGCAUCCAAUACUAAACUUCGUUUGCAAUUUAUGUCAGGCCAUAACUUAGGUGGCCACAGAGCCUUUAUUCUGUACGGACGUACGGCCAUUCUAUCAAAUUCUGGCGGACAGAGAGAAAGAGAAUGCCAGUUUGCAGAGGCUCAGAGAAGCAUAAACUUUUAUUUUCAGCAAACGAGAGAGAAAUAAAUUAAUCCAAAAAAAAAAGUUAUACCUUAAUUACUACUUGAGCAAAGUGGAAAGAGAGCGAAAAAAAUAAAAAAUAAAAAAAGGGAAAACUUUAAAAAAACCCUAUGUGGUUUUGUAGUUUCUCACUUUGCCAUCCUAUGGUUUAAAAUGUAUCAAUUUGUCCCCCUGUGGUUUCUUUUUUCUCUUUUUCUUAUUAAUUUCAUUAUUUUUUUUUUCUUAAAACAGUGAUAAGGUUAAAAUUAAAGGGUACUAUAGUGAAUAUUUGAUAAAUCUAGAUGGGUAUCUGAAGUUUUUUUUGUAUAUAAUUUAAUGAAAUAUUAAUGAAAAAGGUACCAAAAAGAUAAAAACGAAACCACAAGGGGGCAAUUUGAUACAUCUUAAACCAUAGGGGGGCAAAGUGAGAAACUACGAAACCACAGAGGGAGUUUUUGAAGCUUUUCCAAAGAAAAAAGAAAAAAAGAUAUACCUAAAAUAUUGAAUUAAAAUUUUAAGAAUACAAAAAAAAAAAAAGUUUUGUGAACAUUAAUUUUCAGAGUGAGGUUGGUAUACUUUUGGAAGCACGGAAUUUUUCAUAUUUUAAAUCGUUUUUGAUGUUGGGACUUUCGAAUCGACGAUCGCCUCCGUUAGACUUGAUCUAGAGUAUUUGAAGUACCUAGAAAAUAAAUUUUGUGAUUUUUUGAUAUCAUUUGUCUAGCGAUCAAAGGGGCUCAAAAUUAAUAAUUUUAAUGGCCGUGUGAGCCGUUUGCAAGUUUAAUGGUGCAGAAAUAUUCAAAUCAUAUGAAAUUUUGAUAGAAAAUUCUUUAUACUAUAUAAAAUAGGAUCAAUAUCUUUAAUCUAAAAUUUUAAUGUCAUAUCAUCAUAUUUUAAUUGUAAGAUUUUUUGAUUUUAAGCCCCUGAGAUCACUAGGCAAAUGAUAUUGAAAAAUCGCAAAAAUUAUUUUUUAACUAUUUCAAAUAUUUGAGAUCAAAUCUAACGAAACCGAUCGUCAAUUCGAAAGUCCCGACAUCGAAAACGACUUGAAAGCGCGGAGGCCGGG